AUAGCGUAUAUUAAAGUUGUUGCGGUUAAAAAGCUCGUAGUCGAAUUUGUGUCCCGCGCCGCUGGUUCAUCGCUCGCGGUGUUCAACUGGCGUGUUUCGCGGGACGUCCUGCCGGUGGGCGCUCGUAUCGUUUCGGCGGUGCGUGGCCCAGCUCGUAGCCGUCUCGCGCGGUUGCGAAUCUCAUUGCGGUGCUCUUUAUUGAGUGUCGAGGUGGGCCGGCACGUUUACUUUGAACAAAUUAGAGUGCUUAAAGCAGGCCAAUUUUGCCUGAAUAUUGUGUGCAUGGAAUAAUGGAAUAGGACCUCGGUUCUAUUUUGUUGGUUUUCGGAACCCCGAGGUAAUGAUUAAUAGGAACGGAUGGGGGCAUUCGUAUUGCGACGUUAGAGGUGAAAUUCUUGGAUCGUCGCAAGACGGACAGAAG
This 421-nucleotide ribosomal RNA is filed under the name uncultured eukaryote. RNAcentral's name for it is "bacterial SSU rRNA". It matches the Rfam family "Eukaryotic small subunit ribosomal RNA", at positions 594 to 945 of the family's 1831-position model. The record is from RNAcentral.